GUCUAAGGCCAUAGCAACCUGAACGCGCGCGAUCUCAUCUGGUCUCGGAAGCUAAGCAGGGUCGGGCCUGCUUAGUACUCGCAUGGGAGACCGCCUGCGAACACCGGGUGCUGUAGGCU
Ribosomal RNA from Pteropus vampyrus (large flying fox), 119 nucleotides. NCBI's taxonomy places the organism in Eukaryota, Metazoa, Chordata, Mammalia, Chiroptera, Pteropodidae. The record is from Ensembl.